UUUUAUUUGAGAGUUUGAUCCUGGCUCAGGAUGAACGCUGGCGGCGUGCCUAACACAUGCAAGUUGAGCGAUUUACUUCGGUAAAGAGCGGCGGACGGGUGAGUAACGCGUGGGUAACCUACCCUGUACACACGGAUAACAUAUCGAAAGGUAUGCUAAUACGGGAUAAUAUAUUUGAGAGGCAUCUCUUGAGUAUCAAAGGUGAGCCAGUACAGGAUGGACCCGCGUCUGAUUAGCUAGUUGGUAAGGUAACGGCUUACCAAGGCGACGAUCAGUAGCCGACCUGAGAGGGUGAUCGGCCACAUUGGAACUGAGACACGG
RNAcentral lists this ribosomal RNA (321 nucleotides) under Clostridioides difficile. RNAcentral's name for it is "bacterial SSU rRNA". It matches the Rfam family "Bacterial small subunit ribosomal RNA", at positions 1 to 329 of the family's 1533-position model. The record is from RNAcentral. Lineage: Bacteria; Bacillati; Bacillota; Clostridia; Peptostreptococcales; Peptostreptococcaceae.